RNAcentral lists this transfer RNA (72 nucleotides) under Ictidomys tridecemlineatus (thirteen-lined ground squirrel). RNAcentral describes it as "Spermophilus tridecemlineatus (thirteen-lined ground squirrel) tRNA". It matches the Rfam family "tRNA". Rfam says of the family: Transfer RNA (tRNA) molecules are approximately 80 nucleotides in length. Their secondary structure includes four short double-helical elements and three loops (D, anti-codon, and T loops). Further hydrogen bonds mediate the characteristic L-shaped molecular structure. tRNAs have two regions of fundamental functional importance: the anti-codon, which is responsible for specific mRNA codon recognition, and the 3' end, to which the tRNAs corresponding amino acid is attached (by aminoacyl-tRNA synthetases). tRNAs cope with the degeneracy of the genetic code in two manners: having more than one tRNA (with a specific anti-codon) for a particular amino acid; and 'wobble' base-pairing, i.e. permitting non-standard base-pairing at the 3rd anti-codon position. The record is from Rfam by way of RNAcentral. Lineage: Eukaryota; Metazoa; Chordata; Mammalia; Rodentia; Sciuridae.
UGAAUUGUGGCUCAGCAGUAGAGUGCUCGUCUAGUACAUGUGAGGCCCUGGGUUCAAUCCUCAGCACCACAU